Molecule: ribosomal RNA, 650 nt
Filed under: uncultured Basidiomycota
Lineage: Eukaryota; Fungi; Basidiomycota
Description: LSU rRNA
Rfam family: Eukaryotic large subunit ribosomal RNA
Source: RNAcentral
CCUCAAAUCAGGCAGGACUACCCGCUGAACUUAAGCAUAUCAAUAAGCGGAGGAAAAGAAACUAACAAGGAUUCCCCUAGUAACUGCGAGUGAAGCGGGAAGAGCUCAAAUUUAAAAUCUGGUGGCCCCUGGCUGUCCGAGUUGUAAGCUAGAGAAGCGCCGUCCGUGCUGGGGCCAUGUACAAGUCUCCUGGAACGGAGCGUCAUAGAGGGUGAGAAUCCCGUCUCUGACAUGGACCUCCCAGGGCAUAGCGAUUGCGUUCUCAAAGAGUCGAGUUGUUUGGGAAUGCAGCUCCAAAUGGGUGGUAAACUCCAUCUAAAGCUAAACAUAGGCGAGAGACCGAUAGCGAACAAGUACCGUGAGGGAAAGAUGAAAAGAACUUUGGAAAGAGAGUUAAACAGUACGUGAAAUUGUUGAAAGGGAAACGCUUGAAGUCAGUCAUGUCGGCUUGGGAUCAGCCUUGCAACUGCAAGGUGCACUCCCUGGUCGGCGGGUCAGCACCAGUUUUCGACCGUUGGAGAAAGGUCGGGGGAAUGUGGCAUCCUCGGAUGUGUUUAUAGCCCUCGAUUGCAUGCAUCGGUCGGGAUUGAGGAACUCAGCGCGCCGCAAGGCCGGGUUUUCAAACCACGUCCGCGCUCAGGAUGCUGGCA